Molecule: ribosomal RNA, 106 nt
Filed under: Rhodomonas sp. CCMP768
Lineage: Eukaryota; Cryptophyceae; Pyrenomonadales; Pyrenomonadaceae
Description: partial Archaeal small subunit ribosomal RNA
Source: RNAcentral
CCCAAGGCCCUCGCGGACCUGAUCAGUGACGCAGAAGUUGAGGUGAAGGAAGCCAAAGAACAGGAGGCACGGGAUCAGCUCAAGCAGGAUGCAGUGGACAAAGCAG